This is a non-coding RNA of Struthio camelus australis, 7863 nucleotides long. The record is from RefSeq and is a predicted model, not a curated record. Lineage: Eukaryota; Metazoa; Chordata; Aves; Struthioniformes; Struthionidae.
CAGGAGCUCUUCCCACCGAGUGCAGCGGCAGUAUUCAUGCACGCUAGGAAUACUCAUGAGUAAAGGCUGGAGAAAAGGCCACAGAAGAAGUGAUUAUGGGAAUAAAGGGAAUAAAUACGUGCAUGAUCCAAUGUGCACGCCACAGACUGUCUUCCAGUCACUGUGGAAUACUGCUUCCUCUUGUCUGAUUAAGUGACAGCUGGCUGAGAAACAGUAUUUAGCUCUACAUGCGAAGAAAAUAAAAUGUCCUAAUUAAUUUUCUGCAUCACUGAAAUGGAGCUUCAGUGAAACGGGGAAGGCAGACAGCUCGUGUCAAGGAGAGUGAUCCUAGAACUCAGCCUCCAGCACUAUUUUGGAAGCAAAAGUUCUGGGAAGCAUUUACUCUCCAUCCUGCCUCCUUGAAGCUCAGAGCCCAGUGAAGUGGCAGUACAGGACACCCAGGGAUGCGGGAGUCUGAAUUCUCUUUUCAGCAUCGCUCCUCCCUGCAGCCAAUUCCAUCGGUAUCGGCAGGAAAGAACCAGUGCUAAUCCUCCUGCAGUGAGUGAAAUUCCUUCCUGCUGUAUGAUGGGGGGACGAGAAAUUGCAGGCGGAACAAGUCAGAGACAGACGACCUGGGACCUGGGAGUCGGGAAACCCUGUUUUCGCUAACUCUCGAGCUGUAGUUGCCUUGGAGGCCCGAGCCCUGCAAACGCGGAGGUCCCACGGCACGGCAGACCAGACUGGUGGGAAGGCAGGGAGGAUCUACCAGACCACAAAUGGGCAAAGAACUGAAAGCAUUUUGUGACUGAUGUCAAAUGAUUGUGUUGCUGGCAUGAAACACUGAACAACAAAAACCCCAUCAUUUGGGGCCAAUCAAAGAUGUCUUGUGCAGCCCCAAGCUGAAACACUUUUGGUUUGUUUGAUCCUUUGAAAAAAAAACACGAUCACAUUUAAAAAUGGAGUAUUUUUGAAUGGGGAAAAAAUAAAAGGACUAAAACAUUUUGUUUUGUUUUCCAAGUUUUGACCAGCUCUCUCAUCUGAAACUGUUUUGUGAAUUUGCCUCAAAUCAUUUUUGCCAAAGCAAAAAUUGCAACGUGUCUGGCUUUAACUGGUUUUGUGUGUGUAUGUCACACCAUAAAUGCAUCUAAAGUGGUGCAUUUCCCUCCGAUGCUCCAGUUGGGAUGAAGUGGCCCCGGUAUUGCUGUCGGCUCAGCGCCUGGCUGUGGCUGCACCGUGAGUGUUGUGUCCCCGCCUGCGAGCACACAUGCGUACUGCGGGGCUGGGGCAGGCCUGGAGAAAGCCGUAGAGACACAAUAAAAGGGAUGGCAGUUUCCACAGAGAUCACUUAAAAAUUAUCAUGGACUUUUUUGCUCUUGGCAAGAGGACGGCACAGAAUGAGCUCAGCGUGUCAGCCAGCAGCACCCAUUGCUGAGCAGAUACUGGGACAAGGUGAACUCAAAUAUACCAAUAGCAUCUAUCUUACCUAAAGCACCACAGUGCUGCACAACCUGGACAUCCUCUUGGCUUGACACCAGCCUCUGAAGUACAGAUGUACUGUGAGUCCCGUUUUGCAGGUGUAGAGGGGAGCACAACCUUGGAAAGGUGCCUGUGGCCACGCCGGUUGGUGGGUGCAGGAGGAGGAUGGUGUCUGCGUGCAAGCUGUGGGCAGCCGGCGACCCGGAGGGCACCAUUGGAUACGAGAUGUCUUUGCAAAUGCAGACCCUCAGGCCCACGGGGGUUCGGCCAGCAGUUGGGACUGAAGUUCUGGGAUUGUCAGCAGAGACCUGAGUGCUUCAGAGCACCCGGAGAGGCUGGGGAAGGUGGCAGCCCGCCCUGGACCGGCCCCUCUCCCGUGCGCAAGGCUGGCAUCUUGCUCGUGGCUUUCUCAGAAUCAAAGCAUUUAGCCACUUCUUGCAAUGCUGAAACAAAUGUAGUUAUUCACAUAAUUGGGGACAAGAAGCCCCCUGCUGUUUCCCCCAGAAAAUCGGGCAAAACAACCCACUGCAACAAUGCAAAAAAGAAAUACAUUUGUCAUCCCAGCCCUACACUGAGAAUGUGCAGAAAGUCUCUCGCUUGCUCUGCAGCCUGGUGCCAGCCACACACUUUCUCCAGAAGUGCUUGUACAACAGAGCAGAAAAUCAAAGGACUUUUUUUUCUUGUUGUUAAAUAAAACACACAGGCCCAAACCAGGAAAAUCUCUGAAUCCAGACUCAUAGGGAGCAGCCCAGCCACAACCUCUUUCCUCAGCUGCCUUUGAAGAGAGUCAAUCACAGCUGUGAUGAGGUGCCUAGUCCGCCUGGUUCUCCUGUCCUUAGCUCUCCCUGCGUCGCUCCUUGGCAGCUCAUGGAGCUGAAAAUCAGUGCGGCAGCAGUAGCCCUUUCCCAUGGGAACACAUACCUGCUGCGAAGUGGAGCUGGCAAGUGCCCCAGCACAUGAGAAGGCCAAAAUGAUUUUGCCCUCCCCUCCUGAGAGCUGCUUCUGCUCUCCCGGAGCAGCUGGCACCGAGCACGCCAACAGUUAAACCAGAGUCACCCGGAUAGGAAAGCGUAAAGACGAGAAACUUUCCUUUCCCAGACAGAGCAUGAGUCUGCAUCGGUGCAGCUACCACCAGUGGAGCUGCUCCAGGCCUUGACAUGGAGACAAUGCAGUUGCCUCCGUGUCAAUUGGAUUAACUCUUUUACAGCUUGUUUUCAAGCUCAGAAAUAAUCAAUAGAAGUAACAUACUAAUUUAUUUUUUGCUUAUUUUUCUGUAAUUUUAUGCAAUUUUAAUACAUGUGAGCUUGGUGACAACCUCAGCUGCCAGGCAGGCAGUCAAACUUGGGGAAUCGCUAACCUCAACUUCAAGAAUUUGACCAUCCAAAAAUCCAGAGAUUACUUUAAAAGUCAUGAAAUCUUUAAGACUAACACAUUCUGUGGUUGCUUUCAUUUGAUGUCGUGUUUUCUCAGCCUUUGACAUACUCCAGAGUCACUUUUUCAGACUUUCUCUGCAACCACGGAGGUAAAAGCGUAUUUUUAAUUACAGCUUGUAUUGCUUAUUCCAGGAACUGGCACUGUCAGUCAAUAUUUGAAAGAUCACGGUAGGAUUGUUGCAGACAGCUAUACUGGACCAAUUCUUAUUUACAGAGGAAUUCAAAUUGUAUUGAGUUUAUCCCUGUUCAGCUAAAUCGAUGUUGCCAUGCAUACAGCUGACUAAAGUCAAAGUUGAAAGAUGAGCGUAUGCUCAGUUCUUUGUUGAAUCAGGGGCCGAUGUCUUGCCUGUCACCAGCCUGGGUUGCUGUAACUGGACGAGUCCCACAUCAGUGCUGUGCAGUUUGUUGCAGUUCAUGUCUUUGCACGUAUUCAUAGCACCACAUACGCUAUACACUUAAGAGUUCACCUGCUAUAUGGCUAAUGCAAAUACCUAAACUGGUAAUGGUACAUUCCGAGAAGAAGGGAAAGUUUUAGGAAGAUUAAAACUUUCAUGGGUUUAACCCGAUCUCUCAUAAGGAGGAAAGCACAUUAUCUCAGAAGAGCUCAGUGUUAUGAGGAAAUGGCCUGAGUUAAUCAUGGAUCAGAUCUGGAUAUGUCAAGUCUUGGCCAGCAAUAGUUGCAGUGGAGGCAAAAGUUCUUUCCUGUUGCACAAGGGAGCACGCACAGGGAGAGAUGGUGGUGGUGGUGUGGCCCUGGCACAAGUCAAUGCUGGGAACUUGAAUUUUAGACUUUGCUUCAGUGAUGAGUAAUCUCUUUGCAUAAUUCCCCUCUGGAUGUUUUGGAUCCAGCAACAUGUUGUUUCUCCUCUAGUGGCAGAUUUUGGAAGGGCUUUCCUAUUAAUUCGUGUCAAAUCUAGUUGGGCUUCAAAUAUAUCUCAGUAAAAUGAAAAAAAAAAGCUCAUAUUUGGAGACUUAGACAAAUAUUAUACAAAUGUUUUUGGAAGAAUGAGUCUUUCUUAUUUUAAAACAUAUGUGUUUCCCCCUUUGUAUCUGUUGUGUUUUUGUUUUUCCUGCAAACUUCUUAGCAAAUGUGCUGGAAUGAACAAUCUAUUUCAAGCAAAAAGAGCAAAUAUUUUCAAAUACAUUGUAAUGGUUGAUUCCUCAGACUAAAUAUCUGAUUUAUGCAUUUGUUAUCCCUCCUGUGAGGGCACCGUAGUAUUGCCCAAGACUGAGAAAUCUGAUAAAAACUGUUCCAAUUUUGCAUACCAAAUUCUGCCAAUGAUCUUCUUACUAUAAGCUACAGCCCCAAAAUUGGUUGAACAAGAGUUUGGUACAAUGACUCAUUUCUAGGGAAGUUAUUAUAUCUCCUCCGAAGGAUUUUGGGGGGAAGCGUAGGGGCAGAAAAGAGGCAAAAUUCAUCAAAUGCACAUUACCGAUGAUUCACCCCCUUCUAACUUCCAGGCAGCUAACCCAGCCAUCUGCCACCAUGAUUUUAGAAGAGGUAGUUUAUGUCCAGGCCUUUCCAGCCAAAAACAUCCACUCCAAGAACUGAGGACUGAACAGAGCAGCUCAUGAAUAUGUGAGUGAGGAGGUAUUUUUGAGCCUGAUCUGUCCUGAACGCUGCUCCUGUCCCGCUGCCUACAGUUCCAUCUUGGACCAGCUGCAAGAAGAAGCUGGACAACGACAGGGUUGCUGGAGACAUUACAGCUCCUUCGUUCCCACCUCUCUGACUGUUGUCAGUAGGUCAGCAACCACGAACUGGGUGCUUCAGCCGAAUCCUCCUCUGAGCAGCUGGGGGGCGGGAGGUGUCCAGUGGUGUCUGGGUUAAGAAGCACUGUGCUGCACCGGCACUGUCCUCUGCGAAGGGUUGAGGAGGGCAAGGAGGUAGAAAUGGGAGAAUUCGCUUGUGAUAGGAACAGCCUGAGAAACGCUGACCCAGGAGAAUAGCGGUCAGGAGAAAAUUAUUUGAGCUCUUAGUUGGAAUCAGGAAGCUUUUUUUUUUUUUUUAAAUAACGCUUUUAGAAUCACAGUGCUUGUUUAAUAUUUUUUAGUUACGAAAUUUAACUCAGGUCUUAAAUUAUACAGUGAGAGAUCUUAGAGAGCAGGAGACACGGAUCAGCUGCUUGGGAGUUUUGUGUGCUUCGCUAACAUGGGCACGUCGUUACCCGCAUAAAAUCACAGCUUGACAGAAUGCAAAGGAGUCACUGCGUUUAAUUUACAGUGCUUGUAGCUCCUGCUAAAUGCACCUUUCUUCUGAAGUCAGUUGGAGUUUUGACUUGAUGCUGACACUUGUUUGUCAAAGAGCAGACUGGCAUGAAAACGUUACCGUCAUGUUGAGCUGGUGGCUUGGUUUGGGCAGGAGGCAGCAUUCCCGUCAAAGCCCAGAUGCAAUUUGUUUUUGCAAAGCAAAUACUUGUUUUUCCAAACUGAAAAAAAAUCUGAAGAAUAAAAUCUUGGUCCAUAUCUAUCAAGAGGUUUCAUUUAGUCAAUUAAAAGAUGUUUGAUUUGGAUUCAGACUUUAAAAACAGAACAAAACAGGCCAAAUCAAUUCCCCCCUUUUUCAUUCUGUCUCACAGUCCUGAAACUUUUAUCUCCAAAAACAUCAAAAGGGAGCAAGAGCUUUUCAGGUUGAGAGAACCAGCAGAAAACAGCCUUGUUGUUCAGUGAGUUUUAUGAGGCAGAAAAGGUUUGUCAAAACUCCUAGCAACUACUAAUUAUUGCUAAUACCAGUGUUCUUUAAAUCACCAACUAUCAGCAUGAUCAAAUCACAGAUCUAACUCAGUGUUAGGAAACAAUCCUCUGUACCUGAUACUCUUUGUUAAACAAACCAAAACUAAAAAAAAAAUCAGACAUGCAUGUUAAUUGUUAACUCCACCAAGCAAAUAGCCUCUUCUCUUCCCACAUGCUUGGGCACAAACAAUGCAAACCUUUGCGCAGCAAGAGGUCAGGUUUUUUAUCUGUCCCUGAUGUUACCAGAAAUGACAUAGUUCUUGCCGUUUAGCUUCUUGGAUUUUGACCUACCGGCUUAGAGACCUCAGUCAUCAUUGCUUAAAUCAGCAGUCCUGGGUGGGAGCCAAUGGUGAGGAGAUUUUUUUAGAGCACAGAAUCACAUUGCUUAAAACUGGACAAAUAAUUCCCAUGAUUAAGCUAAGAGGCUAACUACACAAUCCAGGGGAAAAGAGGCUCCUUUGGAGGGCGCCUUAGGGAUUUAGGUGCUCUGAAUCAUCCUCCCAGGAAACCUGUGUAGAAACCUAUGCCAGUCUACGUGGUCCUUUCCUGAUUUUGGCCACGCCACUUCUAAGCAGUUUGGUUGUGCAAGUGAAAAACAUAAGUUGAAGAUUACGGUUCAUUCUGCCACUUGCUAUAGUUAUAUUGGGGCCUUUCAAAACUGCCAUAUUUGAAACUCAGAGAAGAAACCUAAACUGAAUUGAUCGGUCAAUGCUCUUUAAUGUCGCUUAGCCACUGCCUGUGUUGCAAGAAUACCUUUUCAUCCCAAGCAAUUUAAUGCCUUUACUUGUAGCAGCCCUCCCCACACCCUUGCCUCCGUGUUUGCAGACACUUGCAGCUGAGCCCCGCAAAGAAGCAACGGCAGCACUAUCCUGCCUAUUGCUAGGAGCCCUGAGACCCAGCACAGGGCGUUUUGGGGAAAGUCUUUGACCUGUUUUGGAGCAGUUAUGGCCAUGGCAGUGAUUUAGCUCAGGGACUGCAAUCUAUUCUUCACUUUAUCGUCAGCACUAAAACCAAACUGUUUACAGGAUGCCUAAUGCUUCCUACUUCUGUUUUGUUAAGGUCACACUUUUUUCCAAAGAGUUUAUUCAUAACAACUUUCCGCUGUGCUGUCCACCAACCCUUCUGACUAAUAACCAUUUUUCCAUAGUUAAAAAUGAGGAAUGGAAAAAAACCCCUCUAUCUUAGUCUAUUGAUAUAAGUUAGUAUAAAAAGAUAAUGCUCUAUUUUUAUUCUUUACUGAAUCCAAGCCUAACAAUCUGCAAAAGUAAGAUAACCUUACAGCUAAAGUUACCAAUAUAUUACUAAACAAAUAAUUGGAGACAAUGAAAACAGAUGCAUAAAUAAUGAAUGGGAAGGAAAUAAGUAGUAUAAAAGAAUGGUAGUUUUUUAUUCUCUCUUUUUAACAUGACUAGCUGAUCCAAUAUUAUAAAUGCUAUUAAAUAUCUUACUGAAAAAGGAUUUUAACCAUGCUACUCAAUAGACUAUAUGUUUUUUUACCUUCAUUCGGCAUUCAAGCUGAGUUAGCCAUCUUUACAGUCAUUUAAGUUACGAAUCACUGCCAUGAUAAAUUGCUCCAAAAAAAAUCCUUUGUUAUCAACUAAUAAGGCAGGCUUUCAGAUGCAAACCAGGAUUUUAUCCCUGACCUUUACAACACUGCAGUAAAUUCUCUCAUUCUCUCACGUCUCAGAGAUGUGGCCUGCUAUAACAUGUGGCUAUUUGGUUGUGGUGUCCCCCACAAGAAAUUAUCCACGUAAAAAUCCCCUGGGGAUUGUUCUAAGAAGCAGGUUUGUCCAAGCGAUUGGGAUAUUUUCACUACUGCUGACAGAGAAUGGAGGUAGGUAGCUCACGUGUGUUAGAGCUGGGCUCUGGUGACGACCAUGCUGCUUUGAGAAUAGUAAAGCUUACUGGGAAAGGACAACUUUCUGCUGCACUGCUUUGCUGAAUCAGGGCCUUAGGACUGGCUGGUGAAAAUGAGCGAUUUGCAAAGUGCCAACUCAGUUUAUACUUCUGCUAAGUGACACAACACUGCUCUUGCUUAAUAAGGAAACACAUGAGCUGUGGGGUACCUCUCCUCCUUCAUCUUGAAACAAAUGUGGAUGUCUAUUCUUGUGUGCAUUGUAUGAACCUGUGCUACUGAUUUCCAUGCAUUUAUUUUACUUUUUCCCCACACAGACUAUUCCUAGAGAGGACCUUUUGGAGCUGGAAACACUAAUGCAGCGGGAAGAACAUUAUUUCCUGUCCAACA